CCUACGGGUGGCAGCAGUGAGGAAUAUUGGUCAAUGGGCGCAAGCCUGAACCCGCCAAGUCGCGUGAGGGAUGACGGUCCUAUGGAUUGUACACCUCUUUUGUCGGGGAGCAAGGCCCGCCACGUGUGGCGGGACGGAGAGUACCCGACGAAAAAGCAUCGGCUAACUCCGUGCCAGCAGCCGCGGUAAUACGGAGGGUGCGAGCGUUAUCCGGAUUUAUUGGGUUUAAAGGGUGCGUAGGCGGUAGGUUAAGGCAGCGGUCAAAUGUCGGUGCUCAACACCGGCCUGCCGUUGAAACUGGUCGUCUUGAGUGAGCGAGAGGUAUGCGGAAUGCGUGGUGUAGCGGUGAAAUGCAUAGAUAUCACGCAGAACUCCGAUUGCGAAGGCAGCAUACCGGCGCUCAACUGACGCUGAGGCUCGAAAGCGUGGGGAGCGAACAGGAUUAGAUACCCGAGUAGUC
RNAcentral lists this ribosomal RNA (460 nucleotides) under uncultured bacterium. RNAcentral's name for it is "partial 16S ribosomal RNA". It matches the Rfam family "Bacterial small subunit ribosomal RNA", at positions 338 to 795 of the family's 1533-position model. The record is from RNAcentral.